GUGUUCACUUUGGUAGCACAUAUACUAAAGUUGGAAUGAUACAGAGAAGAUUAGCAUAGCCCUGCUCAAGGAUGACACACACAUUCAUGAAGUGUUUCAUAAAAUA
This is a small nuclear RNA of Molossus molossus (Pallas's mastiff bat), 106 nucleotides long. NCBI's taxonomy places the organism in Eukaryota, Metazoa, Chordata, Mammalia, Chiroptera, Molossidae. The record is from RefSeq and is a predicted model, not a curated record.